AACGCUAGCUACAGGCUUAACACAUGCAAGUCGAGGGGCAGCAUAAAAGUAGCAAUACUUUGGUGGCGACCGGCGCACGGGUGAGUAACGCGUAUGCAACCUACCUAUCAGAGGGGGAUAACCCGGCGAAAGUCGGACUAAUACCGCAUAAAACAGGGGCACCGCAUGGUGAUAUUUGUUAAAAAUUUAUUGCUGAUAGAUGGGCAUGCGUUCCAUUAGCUUGUUGGCGGGGUAACGGCCCACCAAGGCGACGAUCAGUAGGGGUUCUGAGAGGAAGGUCCCCCACAUUGGAACUGAGACACGGUCCAAACUCCUACGGGAGGCAGCAGUGAGGAAUAUUGGUCAAUGGGCGAGAGCCUGAACCAGCCAAGUAGCGUGCAGGAUGACGGCCCUAUGGGUUGUAAACUGCUUUUAUAAGGGAAUAAAGUGUGAGUCGUGACUCUUUUUGCAUGUACCUUAUGAAUAAGGACCGGCUAAUUCCGUGCCAGCAGCCGCGGUAAUACGGAAGGUCCGGGCGUUAUCCGGAUUUAUUGGGUUUAAAGGGAGCGUAGGCCGGAGAUUAAGCGUGUUGUGAAAUGUAGACGCUCAACGUCUGCACUGCAGCGCGAACUGGUUUCCUUGAGUACGCACAAAGUGGGCGGAAUUCGUGGUGUAGCGGUGAAAUGCUUAGAUAUCACGAAGAACUCCGAUUG
RNAcentral lists this ribosomal RNA (692 nucleotides) under uncultured bacterium. RNAcentral's name for it is "bacterial SSU rRNA". It matches the Rfam family "Bacterial small subunit ribosomal RNA", at positions 32 to 715 of the family's 1533-position model. The record is from RNAcentral.